GACGAACGCUGGCGGCGUGCCUAAUACAUGCAAGUCGAACGCUUCUUUCCUCCCGAGUGCUUGCACUCAAUUGGAAAGAGGAGUGGCGGACGGGUGAGUAACACGUGUGUAACCUACCCAUCAGAGGGGGAUAACACUUGGAAACAGGUGCUAAUACCGCAUAACAGUUUAUGCCGCAUGGCAUAAGGGUGAAAGGCGCUUUCGGGGGUCGCUGAGGGAUGGACCCGCGGUGCAUUAGCUCGUUGGUGAGGUAACGGCCCACCAAGGCCACGAUGCAUAGCCGACGUGAGAGGGUGAUCGGCCACACUGGGACUGAGACACGGCCCAGACUCCUACGGGAGGCAGCAGUAGGGAAUCUUCGGCAAUGGACGAAAGUCUGACAGAGCAACGCCGCGUGAGUGAAGAAGGUUUUCGGAGCGUAAAACUCUGUUGUUAGAGAAGAACAAGGACGUUAGUAACUGAACGUCCCCUGACGGUAUCUAACCAGAAAGCCACGGCUAACUACGUG
Molecule: ribosomal RNA, 508 nt
Filed under: uncultured bacterium
Lineage: Bacteria
Description: partial 16S ribosomal RNA
Rfam family: Bacterial small subunit ribosomal RNA
Source: RNAcentral